CUUUAACACUGAGGCGUGACGACGAGGCACUACGGUGCUGAAGCAACAAAUGCCCUGCUUCCAGGAAAAGCCUCUAAGCAUCAGGUAACAUCAAAUCGUACCCCAAACCGACACAGGUGGUCAGGUAGAGAAUACCAAGGCGCUUGAGAGAACUCGGGUGAAGGAACUAGGCAAAAUGGUGCCGUAACUUCGGGAGAAGGCACGCUGACACGUAGGUGAAGUGAUUUACUCAUGGAGCUGAAGUCAGUCGAAGAUACCAGCUGGCUGCAACUGUUUAUUAAAAACACAGCACUGUGCAAACACGAAAGUGGACGUAUACGGUGUGACGCCUGCCCGGUGCCGGAAGGUUAAUUGAUGGGGUCAGCGCAAGCGAAGCUCCUGAUCGAAGCCCCGGUAAACGGCGGCCGUAACUAUAACGGUCCUAAGGUAGCGAAAUUCCUUGUCGGGUAAGUUCCGACCUGCACGAAUGGCGUAAUGAUGGCCAGGCUGUCUCCACCCGAGACUCAGUGAAAUUGAACUCGCUGUGAAGAUGCAGUGUACCCGCGGCAAGACGGAAAGACCCCGUGAACCUUUACUAUAGCUUGACACUGAACAUUGAGCCUUGAUGUGUAGGAUAGGUGGGAGGCUUUGAAGUGUGGACGCCAGUCUGCAUGGAGCCGACCUUGAAAUACCACCCUUUAAUGUUUGAUGUUCUAACGUGGACCCGUUACCCGGGUUGCGGACAGUGUCUGGUGGGUAGUUUGACUGGGGCGGUCUCCUCCUAAAGAGUAACGGAGGAGCACGAAGGUUGGCUAAUCCUGGUCGGACAUCAGGAGGUUAGUGCAAUGGCAUAAGCCAGCUUGACUGCGAGCGUGACGGCGCGAGCAGGUGCGAAAGCAGGUCAUAGUGAUCCGGUGGUUCUGAAUGGAAGGGCCAUCGCUCAACGGAUAAAAGGUACUCCGGGGAUAACAGGCUGAUACCGCCCAAGAGUUCAUAUCGACGGCGGUGUUUGGCACCUCGAUGUCGGCUCAUCACAUCCUGGGGCUGAAGUAGGUCCCAAGGGUAUGGCUGUUCGCCAUUUAAAGUGGUACGCGAGCUGGGUUUAGAACGUCGUGAGACAGUUCGGUCCCUAUCUGCCGUGGGCGCUGGAGAACUGAGGGGGGCUGCUCCUAGUACGAGAGGACCGGAGUGGACGCAUCACUGGUGUUCGGGUUGUCAUGCCAAUGGCACUGCCCGGUAGCUAAAUGCGGAAGAGAUAAGUGCUGAAAGCAUCUAAGCACGAAACUUGCCCCGAGAUGAGUUCUCCCUGAGACUUAGAGUCUCCUGAAGGAACGUUGAAGACGACGACGUUGAUAGGCCGGGUGUGUAAGCGCAGCGAUGCGUUGAGCUAACCGGUACUAAUGAACCGUGAGGCUUAACC
This 1399-nucleotide ribosomal RNA is filed under the name Salmonella enterica subsp. enterica serovar Heidelberg str. CFSAN002059. Its description in RNAcentral is "bacterial LSU rRNA". It matches the Rfam family "Bacterial large subunit ribosomal RNA", at positions 1548 to 2925 of the family's 2925-position model. RNAcentral also lists the same sequence under 1 other name. The record is from RNAcentral. Lineage: Bacteria; Pseudomonadati; Pseudomonadota; Gammaproteobacteria; Enterobacterales; Enterobacteriaceae.